This is a non-coding RNA of Ictidomys tridecemlineatus (thirteen-lined ground squirrel), 284 nucleotides long. Lineage: Eukaryota; Metazoa; Chordata; Mammalia; Rodentia; Sciuridae. The record is from RefSeq and is a predicted model, not a curated record.
AGCUCUGGAGGCUGGGAUCAAGGCUCUGGAAGAUUUGGAUUUGACAGAGAGGCUGAGAGAACAUUGUCCAGAAGGAUUUUCAAAGUUCUGCGCUAAAUAAAGUAUGUCAUGCUUGUCAUCUGGGCCAACUCAAGAACUGUGAGCAGAGAUGCAGGAAAAGUUGCAAAUGGUAUAUGUGUCAUUCCUGGAACUGGUUUGAAGCAGUCUUAAGUCCAUUGACUGAGAUUAAAGAAUGAGUGAUCUCCUCAGUGCAAAAUCAGGAUAGCCUUGGUAGUCAAUGGUAG